CCAAAACCCUUCUUCAGCUAAAAAAACAUAAAAAUGGAGGAUUCAAGUGAAAAAAUCAACAAGCUGCCUACUGAAACUGACUUUGGUAGUCACUGUUGUUUAUGUUUACCAAUAAUUUGCAACUGGAAGUCCCUGGUGGAAGCUUUCAUGUCCAUUCUGAAGUUUUUAGGGUUUAAAAAACAACACAAACAUACUUCCUCCGCACCGUACCGGCCGCUCUCUUGCUCGCCGGAGCCUGCCUACACCGCCGCCUCAGAUCAUCCUCAGACCGAUACAUCGGUUCUGCAAGGAGAGUUCAGUAGACGUAUUCCUCCACCGCCACGAAGGAGCACCGGCGGGGGUGGCCAGAUAAACUAAUAAUAUAUUGUUAUCUCGGCGUGACUUCUUUCUGGAUCAAGUAAUUAUUGUCUGAUAUGUGAUAAGUAAAACUCACUAAUAUUUUUAGUUAAUAUAUAUUGUUGGAACGACUACUCUCCUAUGGACAAAAAAUGAUAGACAACAAACGGUUACGAAUGCAAUCGUCAAAAAAUAGAACUUGUAAAAAAAACAUGUUUUACGUUGAGUCGUGGAUUUUGCUCUCUUAAAAA
Molecule: non-coding RNA, 587 nt
Organism: Benincasa hispida (wax gourd)
Lineage: Eukaryota; Viridiplantae; Streptophyta; Magnoliopsida; Cucurbitales; Cucurbitaceae
Source: RefSeq, a predicted model, not a curated record